Long non-coding RNA from Sardina pilchardus (European sardine), 1932 nucleotides. RefSeq lists it as uncharacterized. The record is from RefSeq and is a predicted model, not a curated record. The transcript has 4 exons. NCBI's taxonomy places the organism in Eukaryota, Metazoa, Chordata, Actinopteri, Clupeiformes, Clupeidae.
AGUGAGAGAGAGAGAGAAGGAAGGAAGGGACAAAAGGUUUUGAUACUUGUAUUCCCAUUGCAUGGGCGUGCAAUCCUCUGGUUCAGCGUUGUGUCAUCUCUGUAGCGGUUGGACCCCUUCAGCAUCAGUGCGACGCCGGCAUCGUGUGAUGCUGAGUGAAUAGACGCUGUCCAGACGCUGCUUCAUGGGGAGAGAGACAUCGUGUGGACCAGAAUCAGCCGCCAAACACACAGAGGGAAGGCUGGGACCAGGACCAAGCCGUAUUCAACUCAAGCCAGAACCAAAUAGCCAAGAUCUUGACCACAGUUAUGGACCAAACAGAGACAAAAGCGCAGUCAUCUCCACAAAAACAGUCUGCCAAGAACAGAUCCAAAUCCACAGAGGAGGAAACUCGAUCAAAGAAGAGCUUUCACACCCCCCAGAAGUCUCUUCCUGUGCAGCCUGACACCGAGAAUCCCAAGAUGGAUCCAGCGCCGCCUACAUCCUAGAACACUUCUUAUCUGAUGCUCAUUUGUAAUGUAUGUUGUGUUCUUUGUCAGUCAUGGUACCCACCGUAAGCCAUAUUUGAAUAACAAUAAUACUCUAAAUGAACUUGAUGUGUUAAUUGGAUGUGCCAGUGCAAGGGUUCCGUUAGUGGUCAUUAUCAAGUGUGUAACCUUACUCAUCCUCCCAGUAUAAUGCAUUAUUAUCUACAUUCCUGCUCAACUGUAGUCUGGCAAGCCAGAGGGUGCGUCUAGAUUUCUAGGCUAACUCAACUGCAGAUCCUGUAUGAUUUCAAUUUUUUUGCUUUACCAUGCAGUCAUUGUCUAGUGGGGUGUAUGGUUGUGAAUGAUUCUCAUGGAGUUGCACAGAUGCCUCUGAUCUUCAGACUGAGAGGAGAGCGCCAGAGGCUCUGGGAUGUUGUCAGAGGGAGGAGCACUGGCAGUGGCAGCUGGUGCUGUCCAAGUAGGGCUCUCACCCCCCUCUGUCCCUACAGACACCUCACUCUAUGGCUCCCCUACACACUGAGGGAUAAUUGCAAAAUCCUAAUAUGUGAUGCAAUAUGCAAAUAGAGAAAUGAAAUAGAUGAUAAUGGGCGCGUUUCCCAGAUUCGUUAAGAAGCUCUUAAGUUCUAAGAACGUCUUAGGAGCGCUUCGAGAACGUUCUAAGAACGCUCCUAAGAAGGGUUUUUUUUAGCACUUAAGAGCUUCUUAACAAAUAUGGGACCAAUGACUAUACCCAGCACAUACUGUGACAAAAAAAUAUGUGUUGCCAAUGCCACUGCGUUACUUGUAGUGAAUGUGUGAGUAUCUGGGCAGAAGUUGUAUUUGCUCAUGGAUAUGAAAAUUAUCAUCUUCUUAAAGAUAGUGAAAGAGAUCACUCUAAUCCCUGCAGACACAGGACAUAUAGCAACAUUUGGCAUACAUUUUAAAGCAGUUUUGGCAUAAAUUAACAACAUAUUUGUAUGUGUCUGAAAGCCAUUAAAGCCACUUGUGUAUUUUUCCUUUUUUGAAGAAUAUUAGAGCAACAAAGUACCAAUACUACCAGUGCCACAUUGUCUUCGCAGUUUUUGAAUUGUUUUUUUUUUGUUUGUUCUUGGUUGAUGUACUUUGCUUUGUAUGAGGGUAUAAUCAUUUCCUGUUGCUAUUUUGCACUUCUCCCUACUUAGUUUGAGAUUGAAUGUGAAAGAUUAACCACAAAAGAAGAGUUUGCUAUUUUCCUCCAUUGCAUGGAAAACAAUCUGUUCUAACAUUCUGUUAUCAUCUUUUAUGUACCAGAAAACAAUCUAAAAACAAAGCUAAUGUGGAUUACGUUUCAUUCAUUAGUAGGCUCCGAAUGAGUUGUGAUGUUUUUUACACAUGCUUUCUUCAAAGUUUCAUUUUUGGGUGAGUCAUUAUUUCAGUUGCGGAGAGAUCAAUGGAUGUAGUCAGAAUAAUAAAGAGUUAAAAGACU